GAUGAACGCUGGCGGCGUGCCUAAUACAUGCAAGUCGAGCGAACGGACGAGAAGCUUGCUUCUCUGAUGUUAGCGGCGGACGGGUGAGUAACACGUGGAUAACCUACCUAUAAGACUGGGAUAACUUCGGGAAACCGGAGCUAAUACCGGAUAAUAUUUUGAACCGCAUGGUUCAAAAGUGAAAGACGGUCUUGCUGUCACUUAUAGAUGGAUCCGCGCUGCAUUAGCUAGUUGGUAAGGCAACGGCUUACCAAGGCAACGAUGCAUAGCCGACCUGAGAGGGUGAUCGGCCACACUGGAACUGAGACACGGUCCAGACUCCUACGGGAGGCAGCAGUAGGGAAUCUUCCGCAAUGGGCGAAAGCCUGACGGAGCAACGCCGCGUGAGUGAUGAAGGUCUUCGGAUCGUAAAACUCUGUUAUUAGGGAAGAACAUAUGUGUAAGUAACUGUGCACAUCUUGACGGUACCUAAUCAGAAAGCCACGGCUAACUACGUGCCAGCAGCCGCGGUAAUACGUAGGUGGCAAGCGUUAUCCGGAAUUAUUGGGCGUAAAGCGCGCGUAGGCGGUUUUAUAAGUCUGAUGUGAAAGCCCACGGCUCAACCGUGGAGGGUCAUUGGAAACUGGAAAACUUGAGUGCAGAAGAGGAAAGUGGAAUUCCAUGUGUAGCGGUGAAAUGCGCAGAGAUAUGGAGGAACACCAGUGGCGAAGGCGACUUUCUGGUCUGUAACUGACGCUGAUGUGCGAAAGCGUGGGGAUCAAACAGGAUUAGAUACCCUGGUAGUCCACGCCGUAAACGAUGAGUGCUAAGUGUUAGGGGGUUUCCGCCCCUUAGUGCUGCAGCUAACGCAUUAAGCACUCCGCCUGGGGAGUACGACCGCAAGGUUGAAACUCAAAGGAAUUGACGGGGACCCGCACAAGCGGUGGAGCAUGUGGUUUAAUUCGAAGCAACGCGAAGAACCUUACCAAAUCUUGACAUCCUUUGACAACUCUAGAGAUAGAGCCUUCCCCUUCGGGGGACAAAGUGACAGGUGGUGCAUGGUUGUCGUCAGCUCGUGUCGUGAGAUGUUGGGUUAAGUCCCGCAACGAGCGCAACCCUUAAGCUUAGUUGCCAUCAUUAAGUUGGGCACUCUAAGUUGACUGCCGGUGACAAACCGGAGGAAGGUGGGGAUGACGUCAAAUCAUCAUGCCCCUUAUGAUUUGGGCUACACACGUGCUACAAUGGACAAUACAAAGGGCAGCGAAACCGCGAGGUCAAGCAAAUCCCAUAAAGUUGUUCUCAGUUCGGAUUGUAGUCUGCAACUCGACUACAUGAAGCUGGAAUCGCUAGUAAUCGUAGAUCAGCAUGCUACGGUGAAUACGUUCCCGGGUCU
This 1372-nucleotide ribosomal RNA is filed under the name uncultured bacterium. RNAcentral's name for it is "bacterial SSU rRNA". It matches the Rfam family "Bacterial small subunit ribosomal RNA", at positions 28 to 1381 of the family's 1533-position model. The record is from RNAcentral.